GGGGGUGAUACGGAUUCGACUGGGGCAUAGAAACAGGAGUGGCACGCAGAGGUUGCUCAGGAGGCCUCUUAAAACACCUGGCACAAUCGUACAUGCCAAUCAAGCUAAAGUAGUCGCGUUCGAGAAGAUGAACACGGUUCAGUUCGCUCCUCGAAUGUUGGCAUUGGCUGCUUAGACAGCCACGUCUAUCAAGCUUAUGUCUGCAGGGCUUGAAUAGGCGACCCAUAGCAGGCUGGUCAAGGGUGGAGAUGGCGCACCUUUGACGAGGAAAACCCAUGCCAACUGGCUCUUUUGAAAUCCUGACUAUUGGAGUUUAAAAGAGCGAGAUCAAAACAAUAGCCUAAGCGUGUAGAGGCUCUUGCAGAAGUGCUCUAGGACGUGGGUUCGACUCCCACCACCUCCAAAU
Molecule: transfer-messenger RNA, 406 nt
Filed under: bacterium
Lineage: Bacteria
Also listed under: 1 other name
Description: JACOUC01 sp016178055 Standard tmRNA
Rfam family: transfer-messenger RNA
About the family: Bacterial tmRNA, also known as 10Sa RNA or SsrA, is named for its dual tRNA and mRNA-like properties.
Source: RNAcentral